UUUUUUUUUUUUUUUUUUGGGUAAUAAAAGAUUGCAUAAAUAAAAAUUUUAAGUCCGUACAUCACAUAUUUGUUUGGGAUGGAAGGACCCCUUAAAUCACCACACAAAAUAGUUCGUAGCUGAGGAGGACAGUUAUGAUAAGAGUGAAAAAGUCGACAAAAAGAUUUCCAUCCUCAAAUCAUCACAGCCGUUGCAUUUUGCAUCAUUUUGACCUUUCUUCCUCAGCUCAACUGCACGAAGAACGAAUGAGCAUUGUAUUUGACGAUAGCCAUCUUAUUUUACCGGUUAAAGAGUCAAAGAACAAAAAAUAAUAAUAAUAUAAUAAUAAAAGACAGAGCAAGGCAAACACUUGUCGAGUUUUAAAGGUGUUGAAGGCUUGUUUGGGGAGUUAUUAGUGUCAAAAGCUCUUAUUAUUAUUCAGUACUAAUACACAAAGGAUGGUCCUCGAUCUUGGUUUUAAAAUUUCUCAUACAAAUUCUAUUAAUCUUUUUUUCUUGUGCACCAAUUUUAAAAGUAUCUGUUGGUGUACAUUAUUACCUUACUCUUGGAAGCCCAUGCGCAUAAAAAAAAAAAAAAAUUUUUUUUUUUUGGAGCUCAGGCGUUCAACAGUAUCCUCGAAAGAAUUGAUUGUAUAAGAUCAGUAUUUUUGGAGUAGUACUUACGUAGACGAGAUAUAACCAGCAGAGCAGAGAAGAAACCAAAUAAAUAAGAUAAAGAAAUGAUAUAUAUAUAUAUAUAUAUAUGCAGAUAACGUUUCAGUAAUAGAAGGAUUUGAUUUAUUAAACGAUCACAAGAAAAAUUAACGUUAGAGAGUGAAAAUAUCAAGGCAACUAACGAGGUUGAUAAUUCCAUGUGCACUAGAUUCAUGAUUCUCGCAAGACAUAUUGGAAAAGGACGAGAGGGCACUGAUCGAUCGAUCGAGGAUGUUAAAUAGAAGCUAGCAAUUCCGAAAGAGAAGGCCUAUAAUGAUGAGAAGCGUCUGUCAAAUGAGCAAGGACGACUUGCCACCAUAUCAAAAUCAGAAAGGCUUUGAACGUACGCAGGCAGUAGGAGGCAAGUCAUCCUUGUUGGCGAUGAAACCAGAGUCUCCUCCCCAUUUUAGGCCAAUCAGAGUCUUUCUACCAAAAUGUUGAUCCAAUUAAGCCAGAAGAAGUACGUCUAUUUUCUGAACGCAAUUGAUCGAAUUGCUCAAUAUUCAAGACUGUACCUGAGGAGGCGAUUUUUGGUUGGUAACUAGACCGACCUGGAUCAGUCCUCUCUGAGAUGAAGUGAGGUGAACUCCUGUGUCCGAAGUGAACCUCCUUGUCCGAAGUGAGUGGCGGGGCUUCUCCCCUGGUAUCACUCCGACGAUCAAGUUAGUAUGAGAACGAGAAUAAUGAGAAUGAGUUAAUGAACAGUGUAUGCUUACUUGUUGGGAGUGUGAGUGAGGUAUUUAUAGAAGAGAGGUGGUCAAGACGGAAGGCUCAUGCUAGCGGGACCCACUCUCUGGCAUUACGGCUCUGUCUCCUGUCAGGAGGUCUGACUCUGACACUGUAGCCGCCUGGGAGUGAUGACGGAGGAUAUGGUGCAGGUGCCAUUAAGUGCCUCCAGUGCUUUUCAGAUAAAGUGCUGGUCCUGGAUGAUGUCAGGUGGGUUGACAUCAUCAGCGUGCAGCCGAGGUGGAUGUGCCGAGGUCACCUACACGAUGGACUAGGGAUGAAGCCGAGCUCUGGGGUUGUGCUCAAGACAGGGAUGAGCUCCGAUGAGGGACGAGACUUGUGUUCACCUCGGACACCCGCGUGUCCGAGGUGAGCAUCCUCAAUAAGCCCCCCAAGCCUCGGGAGCUUCGGGCCAGGGAGGUACCGAGACUUCCUUCUGCCGAAGUCGUGAAGAGUCAGUGUCCCGAGCCUGCUCCGGAAGGUGCGGGGACGUGACACGUGGGCAUGUCAGUUGAAGGGACCUGGAGAGUGAGUCGGCACGUAACCGUCACGUCGUGAAGUAGUGGGACGUUUCGUGCAGAGAGUGUCAGUUACAACGAGGACUCCAAGGAGUUGUGUGACCGGAUGGCUGAGGACCUCCAAGCUGGAAGGAACCUGGCCGAGGUCCUGGCCGAGUUCAACAAAUGGCUGUCCGAACUCGACGAAGUGUUCGAGGAGGUUGAAGAGGAAGAAACUGGAAGAGAGGAUGCCGAGGGAGACGAAGCCGGAGGGGGCGAAGCCGGAGGGGACGUCGGCAAAGAGCCUGGAGAUGAAGUUCACCCCGGCGGAAAGGAGACCGAAGAGAAAGAUGCCCAGGAGGGAGCCAAGACCGGGAUUGGAGCCGAUACGGGGAUGUAGGCUCGUAGGCUCUAAAGGGGUGGCCGAGGUGAAGAGUGUUUAGUAGCACUCUGACCUCGGCCUUGUAUUUUUUUUAACACUUCUGUUGAAUGAAAGUCUAUUUCUUCUCAUCUCAGCUCUUUAAUUUCUUGCUUUGCUUUGACUUCAUCCCUUGCUUGUCCCCCUUAUUUUUUGAUAGCGUAAUAACCCUAUUGUUCUCAGGUCGUUAGCCGAGGUGGUAAAACGGGCAGAUACCACCUUGAUUUAUAAUGGGCCGAGGUGGCCUUUCGGGAGGUGCCACUGAGUAAGGCCGAGGUGGCCCUGCGGGAGGUGCCGCUGAUUAAGGCCUAAGUGGCCCUGCGGGAGGUGCCACUGAGGAAGGCCUGCCACUGAUUAAGGCCGAGGUGGCCCUUCGGGAGGUGCCUGAGUAAGGCCGAGGUGGUAAAACGGGCAGAUACCACCUUGAUUUAUAAUGGGCCGAGGUGGCCUUUCGGGAGGUGCCACUGAGUAAGGCCGAGGUGGCCCUGCGGGAGGUGCCGCUGAUUAAGGCCUAAGUGGCCCUGCGGGAGGUGCCACUGAGGAAGGCCUGCCACUGAUUAAGGCCGAGGUGGCCCUUCGGGAGGUGCCGCUGAAUAAGGCCUAAGUGGCCCUGCGGGAGGUGCCACUGAUUAAGGCCGAGGUGGCCCUUCGGGAGGUGCCACUGAGGAAGGCCUGCCACUGAUUAAGGCCGAAGUGGCCCUUCGGGAGGUGCCGCUGAGUAAGGCCUAAGUGGCCCUGCGGGAGGUGCCGCUGAGGAAGGCCGAGGUCGGCCCCUGCGGCUCAGCUCGGCUGACUGAAUUUUUCCUCAGAACCAAGUCUCCAGGCUGGAAUUGAGCGGUGUCAGCUCAGCGUCCGAGGUGGACGAUCUUCCUUUCACUAUUCGAUCGAAAAUACUCCGGCGGUCCCGGAGUUGGGUUGAAGUGCCACUUGGGCCGGGUUCACCUCGGCCGAUGUCUCUCCUCCGGGGAUCUGGCCCCGUACGAGAUGCUUGGGCUUCUCGCUUCAUGCGAUUCACAUCUUCACUUCGGAUUCCCUGAUCCACUCUUUCCCAGAGUUCGUGAAGUGUACGGGGGUAAUCCCGAUGAAUUUCGGUGUUGAAAAGUCCGGCCACCAACCCGUUGGUAAAGGCCGCGAGAGUUACCUGCUCAUUCUGAUCAGGUAUUUGCACAUUCUCCUCGUUGAACCUCUGAGCAUACGAGCGAAGAGACUCGCCCUGACCCUGUUGAAGGUUCAAGAGAUAAACUGAAGUCUUCGUGAUUGGUCGAGACGACACGAAGCGGUGGAUGAACCGGUCUAUCAGCUCAUCCAGGGAGGAAAUGCUCCCCGGUUCCAAACUCCAGAACCACUUCCGGGCAGUCCCAUGUAGGAAAAUGGGGAAAGCCCGACAAAUCACGGCGUCGGGGACACAGUAGAGUCGGAAUGCGGAGAUGAAGGCGCGGAGGUGAUCCUCGGGGUCACCUCGGCCGUCAUAGGUGGGCAAGUUUGGGAGCUUGAAAUUCGGGGGCACCCUUUCCCCAUUGAUGUCAUCCGUAAAGGGCGGAGCCCUCAUGUAGUCCGAAGCCAGUCCCCCGGGGCGCCGAGGUAGGCCCUCAGCUCGCUUCCCUAGCAGUCCCCGGGAAAACGCCCGGGAGAUGGAGGCUAGCUUAGAAGUCGCCUUGGAGGAGGCACGCCUGGAGGUACUCCGAGAGAGACGCCCCUCAUCGGAGUCUUCACCUGAAGGUGCCUCAGGGGACUUCGUCGGCCUCCUCUUGGAAGACUCGGCCUUUUCUUUCCCCUGUCUUUUGAGGUACCUUCCUAGCUCCUCAAAAAUGGUUGGGUUGUGUGAUACGAACUCGGCCAUCUUGGCGAUGGCCUCCUCGUUGUUAGGCUGGGUCCUUGGGGACCCUUGCUCUUCAGAGAUGCGAUCUUGCUGGGCUCCCGAGGUCUGCCCAGCCCCAGUUGAGGGAACUCGACCACUUCUGGAGCGCGUGGAUCUCAUUUUAGUAAUAGUAGUCUCGUUCCCACAGACGGCGCCAAUUGAGGAGGUGAUUUUUGGUUGGUAACUAGACCGACCUGGAUCAGUUCUUUUUGAGAUGAAGUGAGGUGAACUCCUGUGUCCGAAGUGAACCUCCUUGUCCGAAGUGAGUGGCGGGGCUUCUCCCCUGGUAUCACUCCGACGAUCAAGUUAGUAUGAGAACGAGAAUAAUGAGAAUGAAUUAAUGAACAGUGUAUGCUUACUUGUUGGGAGCGUGUCUGGGGUAUUUAUAGAAGAGAGGUGAUCAAUACGGAAGGCUCAUGCUAGCGGGACCCACUCUCUGGCAUUACGGCUCUGUCUCCUGCCAGGAGGUCUGACUCUGACACUGUAGCCGCCUGGGAGUGAUGACGGAGGAUAUGGUGCAGGUGCCAUUAAGUGCCUCCAGUGCUUUUCAGAUAAAGUGCUGGUCCUGGAUGAUGUCAGGUGGGUUGACAUCAUCAGCGUGCAGCCGAGGUGGAUGUGCCGAGGUCACCUACACGGUGGACUAGGGAUGAAGCCGAGCUCUGGGGUUGUGCUCAAGACAGGGAUGAGCUCCGGUGAGGGACGAGACUUGUGUUCACCUCGGACACCCGCGUGUCCGAGGUGAGCAUCCUCAGUACCCUAAGAAGAAGACAAUAAAAAAAAAAAUGCAGGGCUUACGUGAAGCACAAGAGACAUAAAUUAACUAGUGGAGUGCUACGUAACUUGAAGCUGCAUGCCAAGCUACAGGUGAAGAGAGUGCUGCUUCAUGUGAGACCUCCCUUUCAAAUGGGAUUCCAUGAAAUUUUCUUGUGCUUCGAUGAUGAUCAGUUCAUUACAAGUUAUAUAUAUAUAUAGAGCUACAGAUCGAAAGGGAAGGUGGGGGUCGACGAUCUCGCAGUUUGAGCUCCCCUAACCGAGAUUUUCCUCAAUAAUUAUUAUCCAAUGAAAGAAUAUAUUCUACCUGUGCUACAGGAGAGGAGAGUAGGGGCCCCGACUUAUCUUCUUCAGUCUUCAUCUCUUACAACUUGAUACGAUGGGAGAACAGAAUUUCAACGUAAAGAUGCCCUUCGAUCACUUUCUUGCCUCUGCUGCCUCUCGUGAAACUUAGAUGUUGGCAACUUGCCCGGAAUCAAUUUCCCUACAAAUCAAAUGCUUAACAGAUUUGUUUCCCCCCCCCCCCCUUUUUUUUGUUGGAUUAAAGAGGAAAGUAAACGUUAUAAAGAGGAGUACAUAGUAACGCCACUGACACAACAUCUGCUAGGCGACUUAGAGUCAACAUUAAAAUUGUAAUCAACUCCCCAAUGUGCUAAGAAUCAGCACAAUCAAUCAACUCCCCAAGUGUUUUUACAAUAACAUCCCUAAAAAAAAUAUAUAUAUAUAUAUAUAUAUAUCCCCGAGUGCCAACUUUCACAUUUGAGUGACAUUUUUUCUUAAUAAGAAGAAAAACUACACUGAUAAUCAUAUGUAAAUUAUUUGCAAAUUCAAACUGAAAUUUCUUACGCCAAAAAAUUUAAAAAAAAACACUGAAAAUGCAGAAAUUUGUUAAUAGUAUACAUUCAUGUGAGUCUUGACAACAUUGCGUGUUAAUAUUAUCCAGAUUUUGGCUUUCAGAUAAUUUGUUCGUUUUUUUUUGUCAAAAAUAAAGAACAAAAGAAGGAAAAAGCAAAAUGUUAAUCAGUUUGUUCUCAUUUGCUAUAGUUAAAAGAUUAGACAACUGUUGUGGUUUUGGCGCGGUUGGUUCGAACUUUUCUUUCUUUCUCUUUUUUUUUUUUUUUCUUUUUCAUUAAAUUGAACAAACUUUUUUUUUUUCUUUCUAUAAGGGCCUUGCUGUAUGUUGUACACGAAAUUAAGGAACUAAAUUACUAGUAUUACUCAGUUUGUUUCGUUUAUCCUUAGUUGAGAUAUUCCUAGAUAGCAAAGUGAGGAGUAUUUUCAGUUGGAAAUCUAAAUUUUUUUUAACCCUCCCUACACCCUUUCCAUCCUUGCCACUACUACAGCUACCCAAAAUAUGAUCGAUCUUCUGAUCGAGAACACCAUUUCUUAUCAAGAUCGUUCUGAGUUCCCCUUGGUCUUCCUUGUACCAUUCUAAGAUGCAUCUACAUAUAUCUUAAUGUAUAAUUAGCAACAGCCUUCAAGACUUCAAUGGCUGAGUUGACAAAAGAUUGAAAGCUUGCUGCUUUUGUUGCCCUGCUGGUCUUCUAAGCUGGCCAGAAAGGGUGUCUUGACAAAAAUCAUCAAGAAGCCAGAAAAAAGUUCGUCAUCCCUUGGCAUAGCACCUCAUAAAUUAGUACACAAUGUCUGAAUUUUCUUCAGGCCUUAGGAGAGGAGUACUAAAAGCCAACCAAAAAGUCAUAAAUUUAACCGAUGGUUACUUGAUUCCUCGUCAGACUUACACAAGAGCAAUAGACGCUUUAUUGAUUUUCUCCGGGAAAACAGAUCACAUGUUUUUCAUGUUAUUCGAUUUGGAAUGAUAUUCCAUUAAGUCAGAGUUUGAGUCUUGCUGAUCAAAAUCGUCGACUAAGGUAUUUUUAAGGUUAUGGACAAGAAAAAAUACAGGCUAGUUUUUGCUUUGAUGUUGUAGAACUAAACUUGUACACUAGUUUUUCUUCAAGAAAGCCAAUGAGAUUAAAAUGGCACUGCCUUUAGAGAGAGUAACUAAGUACCAGGUUUCAGCAUUGUCAAGGAGUGAUGUACUGUUGUGACUAGAGCAUAUUUGUCUCUUUAGAGAAUAACAAGGAUUAAUUCCAUUUUGCAUCCUUCAACUAUACCCAAAUUCUUUAAAAAAAAAAAAAAAAGCCUAUACCCGAAUUCUUACUUUGAUACCUGAACUUCAAAUGGAAUGCUUUAGUCUCUAAAGUAUAAAAUUUGUCACAUUUUAGUUCAAAAGAAGAAAACCUAUCCUAUUUUAUUUCUUUAAAUACAAAGUCAGUCCACUUUAGUUCUUAAAUUAUAAAAUCUAUACAAUUAAAUAUAAAAUUUGUUCCAUUUCUCUCAACGAUUUUGCUUAAGUGGGACAAAUUUUAUGUUUUAGCGAUCAAGUUUUUAAUUUUAAAAUUUAGGGAUCGAUGUGUACAUCUCAUGUACUUGAGAGGUGGAAAGUGAAAUUAACCCAAAAAAAUAACGAUGCAAUCAUCAUCUGGCAAGUUGGUCGUGAGUACGUGACGUAGCGUUCAUAUAAAUAUGGUAACCUGAUUACAGCUAGUUCAGGAAGUCGCCCCAAAAAAGAAAAGAUGAACAAAUUAAUGAGCAUGUAUUUGAUAACUACAAGAAUCUGAUCCAAAGCGCAAAACAAAAUUACAGGUAGAGAAUGAAAACUUCCAUAUUUUAACUCAGCGCUCGAGAACUUUAUAUUCAUCGUUAAAGAAAAAACUUUAUAUUCAUCUAUCCAAAACCUAUAACAUCAAUGGAUUCUUUUUCUCUUAGUCCAGGAGGGGAUUACCGAAUCGGCUUGAUGGAGGGUGCCAGGUAGUAAAAAUUCUGAAAGAGAAUGCCAAGAAUGACGAGGAAAGCCUGUCAAGUAGCCCGGACGACUCGCCUGCAAAUCCAUUAAUGAAGAAUUUACACUUGUACAUGGAUGGAUCUUGAAGGAUGAAGAGGCAAGCCAUCCUUGGCUACGAAACAGGACUCUCAGCCCCAUUCCAGGCAUUUCUUUCUAUAAAAUGUUAACCUCGAAUUAUAUCGAAAAGGUAUACAAGUGCACUCUUGACUGAUAACGAUCCCGAUAACUCAACGGAAAAGGGGUCUUGCGUGAAGAAAAAGAGACAUAUUAGUCAAGUGGCCGCCAAGGCCAAACAGCACGAGGCUUCUUCACGUAAGACCUCACUUUGGAAUUAUUGAGUUGGUCUUUUUCUUGUAUAUAUGCUGAUGAUCGUCUGUUUCAAGUGUCUAUUUAUAGCGACAGAAAAUGAAAGAUGAGAGGCUUCGGAAUUAGAUGAUGCGCAAGUUAGAGCUAGCUUGCUUCCCUAGCCAAAGUAACUUUCUUCACUAUUAUUUUCGUGAAAGAAUAAAUUCUCUUCCUGUUUCAGGGGUGCAGAGGACCCCAACUUAUCUAGUACCUCAUGUUCGUACAGCUGAAAGAUGAUAGGAGAGCUAGCCGAAUUUCAACGUAAAAGUCCCAUUAAUUCGCACGUUUUGUUGGCAACUUGCACCGAAUCAUUGCAAUAAGUGCAAUGAAUUUCCUUUUCCAUAUCUGGUCAAUGUUCAGUAGAAUCAUUGCAAUUAGCGCAUGGCUUGAAACCUGGGACCUCUUCAAAACCCGAGCAGCCAAAUAAGAGCCGGGGGGGGGAGGGGGGGUGGGUUUUUUUGGUGUAACUUUUCUUCCUUCGGCUAGUUCACUAAGUAAUGUGUAGGAUCAAACCAUGAUAUUAUCUGCUGUCAAAUUCCCAGUCACCCAGUUAUAUAACUUCUCAAUGUCCUGGACAUAUUACUGGCACUUGCAAAGUCACACUAAAGCCUUUCUACCCAAGAAAAAGAAAACUAAAGCUUUUCUUUUUCUUUUCGCUUUUUCCACUAAAGUUCAUGUUAAGGAAGAAUUUCAGUUGAAGGAAGAAAAUUCAGCAAAGCAGUAGCGUUAACUCGGAUGGCAAAGUCGUUCAUUUUUUUAUUAUUUCGGUGAAAUGUCAGUCAUUUGUGAACUUUUGGAGUUUGGACUUUUUUUUUUUUUUUUUUGGUAAAUAAAGAUGCAUUAAAAAUAAAAUCAAGUCAACAGAGUGCAAAUUAAGGUACAGUCAUCCGUGGGGAGGAAACCCCCUUUAAGUCUUGCAAAAGUAAGGGAAGUACAAAAUUAGGACAUAAUUCAAAAAAAGUGAAGUCUUGAGUGUUGCUUCUUCCCCAGUUGGCAAGGAUGUCUGCACAUUUGUUUGCUUCUCUAUAAUUAUGGUGAAAACAUACUUUCUGGAAUGUAGUCAAUAGCUCCCUGCAAUCAAGAAUAAUAGGUGCAAGUUCAUGAGAAAUAAGAUUAUUUGACUUACACAAGGAGAAUAUAAAGGCAGAGUCCAUCUCCACUUCGAGAGAGUGGAUGUUGAGAUUUUUCGCAAGUUGUAAGCCUUCUCUAAGAGCCCAACAUUCAGCAGAAGGAACUGAACAGAAGCCUAAAUUUCUUGCAAAGCCCGCAAUCCAUAUCCCAUUUGAGUCACGAAUUAUGCCACCAGCUCCUGCCUGGUUUGUUGGUCCAGAGACUGAACCAUCAGUAUUGAGCUUGGCGAAACCUAUAGCAGGGGGGGAUCCAUCUGAUGAAUUUUUCUUGUCUAGGGGAUCUGGAGAUAUGAGAACCAGGCCCUAGUAGGUAAAAUUCAUGAGCAUGGUGAAGACAAAACUUGAUAGGAUCAUCAAUUUUGUUUUUUUGAAAGAUCUUGGCAUUGCGAGCUUGCCAGAGGCUCCAACAACCAAAGCUAAAAAUGGUUCCCCAAGGAAUAAGGUUGAAAGGGGAAGGAAUGUUGGACGAGCAUCCAUCCUUGAUCCAGGAAUAGAAAUCCGAGCUGGUUUGGAGGGAGUUUUGGGAGGGAUGGGUGAGUUUAAGCCAGAAGGAGGUUGCUUGGGGACAAGAUCUUAGUAUGUGAUUCGAAUCUUCAGAAGGAGCUUGACAAAAAGGGCAAGAGGCUUCGGAAAGAAUUGUGCGAUGUGUGAGAAGACUUUUUGAAGGGAGUCUAUCCUGGGAUGCUAGCCAAAGGAAAUGCUUGACUUUUGAGGAGGUAUUAACUUUCCAAAUCCAGCGAAAAUGGGAUGGAGCUCUAGAAUCAACUGGAAAUAAGGGAGGAUUUUUGCAAAGGUUAUAAGCAGAUUUCGAGUUGAAAACCCCAUUGCUGGAGUAAUUCCACCUAAAGAAAUCAUGGGAUGGAUUGAGCUCUUGUCUUGGUGUACCCUUGAUCUCCUUCACGAGCUGGAGAGGAAGCUGGAAGGAUAUUCUAUCAAGGUUCCAACUGGUGGGGGAGUGAAAAAGUUGAAAAACUCUUAAGUCCUCUUCCCCCUCAGUUAGAGGUCCUUGGAUCUGGCUUCUGAUAGAGCCUGAUUGAAGCCAUUUGUCUCCCCAAAAUCUGACUAAAUGCCCAUCUCUGAUAGACCAAAUUAAACCUUCAUUGAAGGUUUUGAUCCCAAUGUUGGAGUUUGGACUGUUGAAGCCUGUCGAUGCGGUUGGAUUUGCAACGUUGUGAGUUUGUUUGGACAAAGAUAAUUUGAUUUGCAAAAUUUAUUCUCACAAAUCCCAAUCACCUUUUUAUCUCACAUACAUCACAUCACAAAAAGUGCUACAGUAAAUAUCUCAAAUAAAUCAUCCAAAUAAACUCUUAUCCAAACAAACUCGUGCUUCUUUUUCUUUUUCUUUUUUCUUUACAUGCUUCGUUGAGAUUAUCAGAUAAAAUUCUCUUUAAUUUGCUUUUUUAAUUAGCUGGGUUGACUUUAGAUUAGACUAUACCCAACUUUACCCAGUGGGUCUGAACGUUCACAUAAGUGCUGCUAUGCCUGCAGUCCUUUGCAUAAAUAAAACUGACAAUACGAAUCACGUCUGUUUUCUUUUCUCUCUGCCUGCUUUAUCCACUGGAUUUUAUCCUAACUUUAGGUGGGCUUGAUUCGUAUUAGAUUGGAGCGAUAAUGAGAUGUAUUCGAUAUUCUGUACCAAUAAAGAAGGUUAUACUGCAACAAUAGACACCUCAGCUGAUCUCUCGUUUCUAUUUCCCUAAUUCAUGCUUCUAGACGUCGUUGACCUAUGGGGGCAUCCUGUCCUGUCCUGUCCAGUUAGUUUCCGGUUAAACCUCUCUGAUUCUAGCUCAAUCUUCAUGCAUUAUUAUUAAGUACGAUUGCAGCUUGGAGAAAGUUCUAUAACAAAUUCUCAGUCAUCAAGAUGAUUUUAACAAUUCACUUGAUAAAAUCAAGAAAAUUUUCUAAGAUUUUAGAUGGGGCAAAAUAGCGGUUGUAAAUGAAAUUACCAGAAGUCCUUCGGGGUUAAAAAGCAUUAGCCAAAACUUGGGGCCGGCUGCUACCAACUCCUGCCGCAGUGGAUGUGCCCUUUAUUUUGUGGUAACUGUCAGUUCUAGGAACGCUGGUCCCGCGGGCCUUGCCUCAAAUGACUCCUUCAUAUUGUUUUGAGCCGUCAUCAAUAGUUUGAUUCGCCAACCAACCCAUUAAUUGGGAUCGUUCAUGCCUGAAUUCCAGACAACCUCUAUGCCUGUCGACAUGCUUGCCAAGGUAGACGGAGAUGGAAUUCCUUCGAAGCACCGUAUCAGAAGAGUGUGACAGCAUCAUGCAGAGACAGCCGCGCCGAAAAUGCGAGUGGAACAAAUACCCAGCUUUAGCACUACUACAUGCAUUUGUCUCGAUCAAAAGAGUAGAGAUUUUACAGCAAUCCAACUCUGGUACUGAAUCUUCUAGUAUUACAAUUUUGAGUGCUUCUAUCUACCUUUCUAAUUCACAGCGUACAGAAGUAGAGCUAGUCAACUUUUAGCACUUGCUACUGAAUAGUUUCUAGGACUUUUUAGACAUUGUCAAGCAUCUGCUUAGUUGCUAUCCAGUUGGUAUUGGCACAGUUCUAUACAUUCUAGAACAAUACCGAGGCCAGAUUCAAAACCGCAAUGAUUCUUCUUCUUCUUCUUUUUUUUUUUGUUUUUUUCCUUUUUAGUGAUACACCAACGCUGUAUGUGCUAUAUACUACAUUACUAAGAACGGGCCCUGGAUUUGUCUUUGAGCAAUUCUACCACUCUUCUCAUGGAGGGCCUGUUCAUUGGAAGAGAUGAAACGCACUGAAGGGCGACGUCUAAGACCACCCUAAUCUCUUCAAGCUCAGAUGUUGAUGGUUUCAACCUUGCAUCUACAAGGUGAUCCAAAUAGUCAGCACAAAUUUUGGCACUAUCGUUGGCUAUUGGUUGUUCUGCAGAUGACAAUGCCACCUCCAUUACCCACUGUACGAUAUCUUUAUUCUCCCCAAAAGAGGGAUCGAUUGGCCGUUUACCAGUAAUCAGUUCCAACAGAACCACACCAAAGCUGUAUACAUCACUCUUCUCUGUGAUCUUCAGAGUGUAUGCAUAUUCUGCAGAAACAAGAAGACAGCAAAAGCAUGUUAGUUAGCCACCAUGGCUUCAGACUCAAAAGAUAAUCACAAUCAGGGAAAGAACAUUUUUUUUUUUUAAAUUUGAGAGAAUUAAUAUCACGAUUACAUUAAUCGGCAAUCUAGCAUUAAUUUCUAACAAUCUCCUUAAUAACUAAUAUGCACCCCGAGGGCAAAGAUGAAGUAUGUCUACUUGAUGUGUUCCUUUUCCUUUCAUUCCAAGCACAAGUAAACCUAAAAACAGCUUGAAACCUAUAAUCAGAGUAUAUAACUGGUCUUGCUCCCUUCAGUAGAAGUUCAUGUCCAGCGAAGGAAAGCUAAUAACAACAAAAUGGCAUUCGAUAAAUAUAGUUCAACAUACAUUUUUACAAUAAAUAAAUAAAUGGUUUUUAACCCAGUCACUCUAACUGGAUGGAGUUGAAGCCUUCAAGACAAAAGAAAGGAGGUUUGAGAUAAACACACCAAAUACAAACUUGACUAAACCCCGGUCAAACUAAGCUCAGUGUCGCUACUAAUUCAACUAAAAUCAACUUUCUUUCAGCAAGAAUUGGUUCAAAGCCAAUUCAUAUCUUCCACUUCAAAACAAUGGGCUAAAGUUGCUAGAAUAAGACUAUCUUCCCACCAAUCUUAGUCAUAGACUAGUUCCCUCAUGCGAUUUUCCAACUGGAGCAAUUGUUUAUGUGUAAUCACGAUUACGGGUGAAUAGAGAAUUUUUAAUCUUUGUUUUUGUAGUAUACAAUUGUAUCUUACUAUUUGUUGUCCUUGGAACAGAAACUAGAUAUCUCCAAGCUCCUGUGUCUCUUUUUUUGGUCUUGCAGUCAAAUUCGCUUUUGGCCACAGACAAGUACAUGCAACCUGAUUUGAAGCGAUGUCGCAACAAAGACAAAGUGACAAAACCAUCCGUAAACAUGAGGCAACUCUCAAUUCCAAUCAAAUGGAGAACUCAAAGCCUAAAACUAGUCAAAUUAAGAACUGAGAGCCUAACACCAUAUGCCGCUUGCUUGCUGGAACAAAAUCAAGAAUAGCCAUCCCCACUCUACACCCAUAAUACCCUAAUAAAAACAUAAUUGCUGCAGGGGAAACUAAAAAGAAUUACAUUAAGCCAAAUCUAUCAUAUUAAUGAAUGAAACAAUUGAUAAUUACUACAAAUAAAAGGCCAUAAUAUAGACAGAAAAGUUAUGCCUCACCUGGAGCAAUAUAGCCGUAGGAGCCAGCAAUCUGAGACAUGAGUUGGCCACCCUCCUCCAUAUUUUUAUGCAGAGUUUUUGCCAAACCAAAAUCAGCGACCUUUGGCCUGAAUUCCUCAUCCAACAAUAUGUUGUUAGACUUCACAUCCCUAUGAACAAUUGCGGGUACGCAAUCAUGGUGCAAAUAGGCCAGUCCUUGAGCAGCCCCAAUUGCAAUCUUGAACCUCGUAUGCCAAUCCAACAAUACCCCACCUUUCUCUCCGUGUAGUACAUCCCCCAAGCUCCCAUUCUCCAUGUAAUCGUACACUAAUAUCCUAAAGUUGUCUCCAGAGCAACUGAACAACAACUUCACUAUGCAACCAUGCUUGAUUCUGCCCAAAGUCUCCACCUCUGAUUGGAACACCUCUUCAGAUUCUGGUCCACGGUUAGCAUCCCAGAGUCUCUUGACCGCGACUGUCGGCCCGUUCUUCAACAUGACACGAUAAACUUGGCCCGACCCGCCUGUUGCAAUGAGAUUAUCUUGACUCAGAAAGGCAACAAUAUCUUCCUCGUUGAACCACAGUCGCUGAAAUGCAGUCAUUUUCCAUGAUUUUUUGCCCCGACCUGCAAAUAAAUUUAGCUUCUUUGACUUGAUCAAUAGCCAUAGAAAUGAUACGACGAGUAUUCCUGACAAGGCUGAUAAAAUUCCCACCAAAACCAAGCUUAUGGGUCUUCUUUUCUGGCAUGAAGGGAGAGGUUUAAGAUCAGGACUGCACAAAUCCGAAUUGCCCACUAAGCUUGAAAUGAAAAUUUCAUUGUCGAAUGCACUAGGUACUCUGCCCUGAAGCCUAUUAUUUGAUAAAUUGAACUUAUUGAGCUUGAGUUUUGACAAAUCCGAAGGAAUCUCACCAGAAAGUAAAUUCUCGGAAAGAUCUAAGUAUGUCAAAUCAGGCAACUCCCCGAGCUCAGCUGGAAUUGUACCAGAAAAUUGAUUGCCAGAUAAGUUCAAUUCUGUUAAAUCAGUCCAAGUGGUAACAGAGGUCGGGAUUUCACCUGUGAUUGAGUUUUCUUGGACAUCAAGCUUGAGUAACUUGUUCAAUUUGGUUAUGCACGAGGGCAGUUUGCCUGAGAACCGGUUGCUGCUAAUGUCUAUAAUUUGAAGCUGUUCCAACUCGCAUAUUCCCUCCGGCAACUGACCAGAAAAGCUGUUGCCCGAUAUCAAAAAUCCUGUUAGAUUACGGGCAUUUGAAACCGUAGGAGGAAUUUCACCCUCUAGUCUAUUGUUUCGGAGUUCAAAAAUCGUAAGCCCAGGAAAACUCCAGAAACUAGGAGGUACAACUCCAGACAGCUCAUAACUGGAAAUCCGGACGUACGUUAACGAACUGCACUCACCAUACGACUCAGGGAUUGGACCAGAAAAGUUAUUGUUAAACAAAACUAAUCUGUCUAGCUGCUUCUUGAAACAAAGAUUUGGAGGCAAAGGCCCUUCUAGAAAAUUCCCAGAUACAUCAAAAUCUUCCAAGCCUGAAUUCCUUCCCAAAUUAACCGGUAAAUUGCCGGAUAAUCUGUUAUUAAAGAGCUUGAGCUGAUAAAGAUAAGGAUUUAGAGCUAAAUUUUCUGGGAUUUGGCCUUCCAAAUUGUUGUCAUUGAGAUUGAAGGAUUGCAGAGCUAAACCGGUUAGACUUUCUGGUAUUCUUCCGGUGAGAUUGUUCGAUGAAGCAUCGAAAUUAUAUAAAGAAGUCAGGUUCGAAAAUGUAUCUGGAAUUUCACCGGAGAGUUGGUUUGCAUAGAGCUCUAUCUGUUCGACAGCAAUUAGUCCUCCGAUACUUUCUGGGAUCUUUCCAGUGAGGUUGUUGACGGAGAGGUCGAGGUUUUUAAGAGAUUUGAGGUUUCCAAUUGAUUCUGGGAUUGAACCAAUUAUUUUUGAAAAUGGAAACCAGAGAUUUUCGAGUUUGGUGAGGCGGCCUAUGUCGGCCGGAAGUGGGCUUGGGCCGAAAUUGUUGGCAGCGAUUUCUAGACGAGUUAACUCGGUGAGAUUGGUUAAGAAAUCCGGGAUAGACCCGUUGAGUAAGUUGGAGAGAAGACGGAGAACCUGAAGGUUGGGUAAGCGGGAACCGUAACUCGCCGGAAUCUCACCGGAGAAAUUGUUAACUGACAGGUCGAAGGUGGUGAGGUUGAGGAACAGAGUUUGAAGCUCCGGCAGCCCGCCAACGAACAAGUUGGAGGACAGAUUGAGGAAUUGCAGGUGGGAGCAGAGAGUGAGCGCUUCAGGUGAGAGGGUUCCGUUGAAGUUGUUAUCGGAAAGGUCCAGAAAGCGGAGAGUCUGAAUCCGGCAAAAGUCCGCCGGAAAAUAGCCUGAGAUGCUGAAGCUGGUGAGAUUAACGGAAACGACAUCGUUAGUUUGGUUGUCACAACCAAUGCCAGUCCAGUUGCAGGGAGCAUUGGGUGCGGACUGCUGCCAAUCAGCGAGCAGACCACUGGGGUCUUGCAGUUCAUUGGCCUUGACUCGAAGCAAAACGACGACGUCCCUGUUCGAUGAACUGGUACCAGGAAUUAUCAGAGCAAUGCAGAAAAGCAGUUUGAUGAGAUAGAGAUAGAGGGGCAGAGGUCUGCAGUUAAAGCAAAAGCACAUAGUACCGGCCAUUUUCUUCUGUUAAUUAAACUACCACCCCGCAAACCGCAACUACUAGAAUGUAUAAUGCAAUCUAUCUAAAGAAAAUUGAGUUUGAGGAAAUGAUGGGCUAAUUCGAUGAUGAAAUCGUGAAAAUGAGAAUUAUUCAUGAUUUGUAUUUAGCCAUUGGAUUUGAAAGACAGCAGCAGGCAACUGGCAAGUAGUGCAUGGCCAUGGACAGAGUAACAAGUGCAGGCAGAUUGGGAGAACCGCUGGAAGGGGGUGGAGGUAGCGAGCUAAUUAGUCUACUCAUUCUUGACUUAGGAUUCUUAAUUUAUGGUGAAUCUUGAUAGACUAAGGUCAAAAUAUCUUGAUAGACUACAUCGAUACUAUUAAUGUAUUCUGUUCACAUGUGAAGGGCUGGUCAUAGAUGGCAUUUAGUGUACUAAAAAUUUCCAUGUGGAGAUGAGAAAGUUAGCAAUAAUAUGAUAAAAUCGACAAUGAUUGUCAAAGUAGUUUCCAACGAGUCGACUCCGGUCGAAUUUUCAUUUAAUUGAAUUGAGUCUCGGUUUCAUUUUAUCAAAUUCGAUUAGAAUUUAGUGUAAAACUUGAGCUCGACGUCAAAUUUGCUUGAACUAGUUUGCAGGAUUCACAAUAAUUAUCUUUUUUUUUUUUUUGGAAGCAAAUGAUUGUCAAAGAUUGGUGGGAGUGAAUUAGGCGGAUUAAAACUGAAAGGUAAGGAAGUGAAUUUUUCCAGAAACUCACUAUUCAUUAUUUGGUCAUAGACGGAAGAUUGAUGGUUUUAUAUGCUUUUGUAGAUAGUGUAGAACAUAAGAGGGGCAUACCAAAGAGGGAAUACCAUAUUACUUGUUUGGGGUGGAUAUUAACCACUGAGCCAACCUCAGUGGCCACCAAAGUGGGAAAAAAUCUCAUCUGUUUGGGUUAUAAGUGGGGUUCAAAUCACACCUGCAAUUAAAAAAAAUCAAAAGUGGUGUCAAAUCACCCUUUUAGUCUAGUCUCUAACACAAGCCUAUUUAGAUUCUCCUGAAAAAAAAAAAUUUAGGAUGGAUAUCAUUAUUAUAUUUAGAUCAUCCAUGAACCAUGGCUCCGUUUGAUAAAUGAGUAUUUGGAUAUUUGUCUAAAAUUUUACCUUCUUGUAGUAGUUGUAGGAAAAAUUUGUAAGAUGAAAUUUUUUUUUUUCAUUUUCUCUCUCUCCCUCUUCCCCCCUUCCCAUGCCACUAUCCCCCUUCCCCCGACGCGAUCUGAUCUCACGACCAGAUUGAGCAAAGGGGGAUAGAGAGGGAGAGGGGAGGAGGAAGAUAGUGGGGGAGGAAGAGGGGUAGAGAUAGGUGGCAGAGGAGAGGAACGGAGAGGGUGAGAGAGGAGGAGAGGGGGAGGGAUGAGAGGGAGGGAAGAGGAGAGAAAAAGAAAAAAAGGUGGUCGUCUGGCCGGCGUCAAAGGUGGUGGUCGGUUGAGGUGGAAGAAAGAAGAAAAAAAAAUUUUAUGUGUUUUGAAUAUUUUGAAUUGUAUAGUUUAAAAUUUUUGAGAAAUUUUUUGAGAUUAUUGUAAUUAAAAUUAUUAAAAAAUUGAUGUGAGACAAAUUUAGCAAAAACUCACUUUGCCAAUCAGGCCCGUAUUUCACCACGUAACGAUGAUGAUUUCCUUCUCAAUGAUUUACUUGUAUUAUCUUCUGUCUUAGAAAGUCUUAUCCUUUUGCUACUGGUUGGCUACCUUUCACAACCACUGUCGUUGUGCGUACAGGGAUUACUCGUGUAUUGAGUGUGAUGCCUUUGGAGUCUUCGCCCAUGCCUGAAAAACAAACGAGUAAAGCAGUCAAAAAGGUUCUCAAGAGGUCAUACAAUGCAGUUGGCCGAAAUUGGUGACCAAUAUAUAAAUGCAAGGGUCCAUCAUUUCUUUUCACUUGAUUUGUAUUUUUCUUCGGAGGGUCCAUCAACUCUAUGAUUUUUUUUUUCUGAGGUGCCUAUCAACUCAAUGAUCUCAAUUCAAGACAAAAGGAUAAGUUAACAAUAAUCGAAGACUCGGGGAUUUGAAGGUAUGCGAGUGUGGAAUUAUUCCAGAAGCAAAGAUAAUAAAUACAUGGCUAAUUAUUUUAGUGCGGAGGGUCAAAAAAAAUGAGUACCAAAAAAAUCUACAAGUUGGUGAAAGCAAAAGGGGUGCAAAUGGAUGUUGUUGCAAGCAAAAGGUGUUUGCAACCCUUAAUCAUGAGAUUUCGAAUUCAAAAUUUAUGAGAAUGAAAAGGAUAACGUUGAGAAAAUUUCUCCUGCAAGAGACUCGACUCGGGUCGAACAAAAUUAAUCACAGUACAUGAUUAAUACCUGUGAAUUAUAAAAAAAAAAAAAAAAAAUCUACAAAUCCCAAUAGUAAGGGCGCGGCGAAUGGAAACUCAUUUUCUACAUUGCUGAAUUUAACACCAGUGUGGGACACUAAAUUCAUAGUCGAAUCUUUGACUGUGAGCUGUAAACUAUGAAGGACAGCUUCUAGGAAUUGAAUUGUGUUCGAAAUUUGGGAAAAAAGAUGUACAGUCGCUUCAAUUCGAAGCAAAGUAGUAGUCAGCAAGCAGCAGUCCAGCCACUAGUGGAAAAUCGUAUCGUAUUGUAUCACUUUUUCUCUGGGAAUGUUUACAUGAAAGAAUUGAUGCGUGCGCAAGGAUUGGAAUUUAUUAAGAUGGAAGAGACCGUGCGAAGGAAGCAUAGAAUAUAAAAGUUCGGCUUAGUUGGUUCUCGUUCUGUUUCUUUUUGGUAGUUGUGGGAUUCUUUUAGCAAGUUUCUGAGAUUCUAAGUGGAUUGGUUGGAUGCCGGUUCUAGAACUAAUAGAUUUACCCCUCAGUUUUAGUUAGAUAACUUGUACUCAGCCGAAUGUUCUUUCAAUGGGAAAAAAAAAAAAAAAAAAAAAAACAAUUCAGGUUUGAUAUUACUAGUAAAUUAAAAGUGCUUCGUAGCCUUGACCAGGGAAGAGCUAAUAGUGGCUCCCUCAUAGUAAAAUUUCUCUAAGCAACUCAAAUUUUGGUGUUUGGAGGCUUGGAAAGAAAUUUUCAACAGAUUACAGAAUAUGAUAGGACAUCCCUUAUAGAGUGGUACUAUAUAAAUUUUUUCUUGCCCUCUCGUUUAGAAAUAUGCAGAUGCUUAAGACGGUACUUUGCAGUCAAGAAACAAUAGAAAACAAUUAUAGUUAUAAUUGGCUUUAUUAAAACUAAGUAUUACUACUACUUUAUUUUGUUUUGCUGUCCUCGUGCUUUCCCAUUUUGCUUUUGCUUUUUCCCUUCUCUUCUUUAGCUCCGUCAAUGUUGUAGGGUCCCAUAAUUAUGGCUGUUCCAUAAUAGCGUACUCAGAAGUCAAAAUUCUGUUCAUACAAAUGGGAAAUGCUAGGACCGCAAAUUUGAAAUUAAAAGGAUCAGCCAAUCACAAUUGCCAAGUGCCUCGAGGCUGGGGACUACUUGCUUGACGUUUUGUCAUGAUAGUAUAAAACUGAACCACUGAGCUUUUGGCUGUAAAACCACCGGGGUAAGGGCUCAGCGGUGAUCGGAGAGGGGCUUAAGUUCCUUUUUAGGUUAUAGGUAAAGGUUCAAAUUUCAAUUGUAGUGAAAAAAAUUUAAGGGUGUGUCAGAGCAUUUUCUUGAUUUAGUUGAGUCUAUAUACUCACUAGUCUCCUAUCACAGCCUCCGUAGGCUUCCCUUCUCCCCUAGAUUAGAAUAAAAAAAAAAAAAAAAAAAGAGCUUUUGGCUGUAAGCGCCAAAACUGCUUUUGGUUGUAAGUCGGUUCGAACUUCACCGGCGGUGAAAAAAUAUACCUGUUAGUCUCUUAUACAAUCUCUUUAGGCUUUCCUUCUCUGUAAAAUAGAAUAGAUUAAAUUAUAUAAUGUUAUUGUUGCUAUAAAAACAUAAUAUAAAACUGUAUCCUUCAAAAAGUAUCAUGCAAAAGAAAGAUGAUGACAGUACAUGUCAUGCUCGUCUAUAGAUCAACAACUAAUUUUAACUUUUAUUAUUUUCUCUUUUUUUUGGUUCCCCCCCCUCCCCCCCUUUUUUUCUUUUUUCUAAUUACUAGUGACCAAUUUUAUAUCUGAGAUAGUGGUACAGAGUAAACUUUAAGGGUAUUGGCUAGGAUUUUUCGAUGCCUAGCUUUCUAGCAGUACUCAGAGAUUUCAUUCACCGUAUGCCAGUGGAUAACUUCUCAGUCUCCAUUCAAGCAUGUAGUAUAUCUUGUUCUCUCCCUUUGUUUGACUUGAUUUAAAUUGAAACAAAAUUAUUAGGAAGUCCAAUUCAAAGACCAAUUAAUGCUUCGAUAACGUCGCCCGCUGAUGCUAACAUAUGUUCAGUUUCUGGAAAAUGAAUAGAGUACCCAGCUCCAAUAAACUAUUUGAAUGGCUGGUUGGUAAAUUUUCUUAAAUUCACCCUACGCCCGAAAGAGAUAUGCGCAGGGAGGAACGUUGUUUGGACUCGUACAACUUUCAAGCAGUCUUCUUCAACACUUGAGUCAGUACUGAAAUAUGACAAAGAAUAAUUGAAAUUCAAAAAGAUGACAAUAAUUAGAAAAGCGUAGAAUGAAUAAACUAAACUUGGUGCUCAUAUAUAUAUAUUUUUUAAGUAGUUAAAGUAGAGAAUUUAGAGGACUUCUUGCCAAGUUUGCUUACUAAAACUUCACGGCCUUGGCCCGGACCAAAAUACAAGGGUCCAACGGGCUUGAAGCAUUGCUUUCCCCGAGAGAGAGAGAGAGAGGGGGCUAAGAACGGGCUGCUUCGCUGCAACGGCAACGCGUGUCUGUUAUAAAGGUUACAUUUUGUAUAAAAUCCGCGCGGGACAGUUUUUUGUUUUUUUUAAAAUUUAUUUUAUGUGGCGGAAUGCACAAACUAACUGGGCCGGGGUGCAAGAGCCAAGAUGGAAUAUCACGAAUACUGGAGAUGGAUAGCUUCGGGUUUCUGUGUUCUGCGAGAAUUUGAUAAACAAAUUUAAGAAGAAGCUGUCUGCAGGGUGAGGAACGGACAAAGCAACUCAAAGUCAACGUCGCCGUGAAGCAAAAGUUGUUCUACUAAAAGAACCCGACCGACAAUCUUCCGCGUACUAAUUUUGCGCUUUUCAGCUCCGCCCCAACAAUAACAUGCGUUCUAAAUUCUAAUCUACUACUCCCAGUCCCAGUAGUGAUUGAUGCUCAGCACCAGUUUUUGUUAUCUUUCUAAACAUGGAUAGACCGUCCAAGUAACUCGAAAAACCUGAUCCUCUCUCUUGUAACGUAAUCAAUGGCUUCUUGAUGAAUUUACUGAUACUUUGAAGAAGCGUGGGAAUCUGUAUAUAUAUAAUGAGGAGUUUGAUCAAAUGUUCUUCAUUCGAAAAAACAUCAGGACUGACGUUCUUUCGAGUGUAUAAGAUGGUGCGGUUAGGCAAGAGAACACGUUCAGUUCAGAUGGUCAAAAGUGUUUGGUGCAGUGGGUGAAGGUAAAUCUUGAUUAGCACGAACUUCAAUAAUGAAAUGAUCAACCGCACCUGAUUCAUUUUUGUGUGUGAGGUGGUUUAGUUUGGAAUUCAAUUUGGAACCACACAGUAUCACACGCUUUUACGCUCAGCACUAGUCACGCAAACAAGAUGAUGAUGCAUCAGUUUUAUAACUCAUACGCGAUGAUCAUGGAUCUCCUAUAUUUGUGUUUGCAAAAGGAUUGGAAAUUUAAUAAUAGCAUCAAUGGAACAAAUGAUGGGUUAGGUCUGACGGCGAUUGGCGGGUGAGAGAAAGGGUUGGUCGUUCCUUGAACAAUUGUUUAAAAGGAUAUGUAUCAUCAGAUCUGAUUGAUGAGUCAUACUAAGACAAUUCGCGGUUCGGUUAAGUAUGAAUUUUUGCUAAUUUAGGGAUAAAAAAUUGAUCCGUCUUAAGAAUGAGUUUAUGGGCCAAUAAAUAAAGGACUUUUUAUUCUCUUCGAAACCCAUUGCAUGCUCUUACAAUCAUAUGAUUUUAUUAUCUAAUUUUGCAGAAUUCAAUACUGGUUUUAAAGUUUGCAAAAUUAUAAUUAAAUCAAUUCUGUAGAUGUAAGUACAUAAUAUAUAUAAACUAAGAGAUACUUUAUACUUCAUGAAUUUAGUUUGAUGAUUUUGGUUUUAAAAUUUUUAGCCAAAACAGAAAAUAAAUUCUUGGAAUACUUGAUAAUUUUUAUCUGUUAGCAUAUACAUGCUAGAAAUUAAAUAUUAAUGUGAAAGAGCUUUACUCUUCUUUUUUUUUUUUUUUUGGUAAGAAUUGAUUUCAAUUUUGUUUGCAUUAUUUUCAUGAAUAUAUAAAAUUUAAGUACAUAAAAUAUUGAUUUUUUAUAUCAUAACUUUCAAAACGAUUCAAGGAGGGAUACCAAUCUUAAGAAUGUUGUUUCUAGCAUAUAAUGCUAGAAAAUAUUAUUGAGAUUGAGGACGACAAAAUCACCAGAAUUUGUGCUCAGAAAUUUAAGUCGGGCAUGGUCCGGUAGUAGGAAAAUGCGCAGUCGCCACUGGUCAAAUCCAUACCCCAAUUCAAAGCGUCUGGGCAGCUUCUUAAUUUUUGGGCCCAUAUUAAGCUAACCGCAAAAUUUUUUUAAAAAAAUUAUUAUAAAGACGAGAGAACACGACGCGAUGUUAUUAUAAGCAAGACUCCAAGGAUCUGACAUCUGCUCCACAUGCCGUUGCAGCACCGUCACUGAUCGCCUGUCGUCUGCUACUAAAAAUGCAUGUUGUGGUAACAUCUCUUUUCUGUUUCUUUUUCUGGGUUACUCAAGUAGGUGUAAUCUUUUCUCAUUAUGUGGUAUAGAUCCCUGACUCUCUCAGAAAAACUGGCGGGUGUAAUGAUGGCCCGACCUAUCAUCAUAGUAUGACCAAGAACUAUGGUCUAAACCGAUGUGGGGAAAAUAUAGGAUUAGUUGAACUGAAACCGACCUAGUUAAGCUUCUAAUCUAGCAUUUGAUGAAAGGACGACAGUUAUGCUUCAGAAACUAGUCCUGUUUAAAACAAUUCUCCUCACAACAACCAUGACAUUUACAACAUUCCGUUUCCACCUGACAUGUCCUCCAUUCCUUGCCUUGGAAAUGCAGAAAGCCAAAGCUAGCAGGGCUGGCAGCAGGAAAAAGUUCCAAAUUGAAUGGUCUCGGCCACAUUAUUUGACAUUUGUCUCUAAUGAUGCUAACUACUUAAAGAACCAAUAAUUGAUCUUCCCUGCCCUGGACUUGUUUUCCACAUUCAACAAAUUAUCGGAAUCUAUUCAGCAAAGCAUUUGAUCAUGCUGCUUUUUUCUUCUUUUUUUUUUCUUUUUUCUUUUUAAGGAAACAGACUCAUGCAAUGGGAUCAAAGGAAAAUUUUGUCGUGUCGUUGACCUAAGAGUAAUUAUGAGGUUCUUAUCUAAAGUUACUUCGUGAAUGUUGCACCCGUAUUCCUACCACUCCACCACUUAAGACUGCAGUUGAAGCUUGAGAAUAUACAGAUCAUGAAGCAACACAUACAAUGUAAUACACUUUUCUUGGUUUAGAAUGCGAACAGGCAGUGAUGGAUUAAUAUUUAUUAGUCGCUAUUUCCUAAUAAACAUGGGAGACAUAAGUUUGUGAUGACAGCAUUUUAGUCGACACCGGAAACGACAUCAGUGAACAUUUUUCCUAAGCAUGCCAUUAUAGUGGCGUUUGACCCACAUAGAUCUGGUGCAUAUUAGCUUUUAGAUUUUUUUUCCUAUUUGAGUUGCAUGUUUAAUGUAAAAGGUUAAAGAUUGUCGCGUGCCCCGGAUUAAGUUGAACCAGACGCGGGUUGGCCAAAAAUCUGCGGAAGAAUAGCUUCGAAUUUGUUAUGAACUAGCAAAACACGAAAUUAAUUUGCAUGUUUGUUCUGUCCCAGGGUAGAUAAAGAACACCACCUCAUUACUUGCUAUUAUAUAUUAUUGGCUUCGGUAAAGGUACUGGGUCUUGGUAUUCCGAGUGAUGACACGGGAAAUAAUCUGAGAAGUUCAACACAAGUACAUGAACACGCAGGAAAACUUUUACUUCGCAAAUGUAUAAAACCUUUGAAAGAAGUUCUUAAUACAUGUCUCGUCAUGUCUUAAGAACUUGCAUUUCUUUAUAUGCUAACUCUAGCUUAUAGCAAGUAAACUCUUAUAUCUGAAUCUUUCGAAGACAAAAUGUUGAUAUGCAAAACAAAAUUGCAAACUUCUUGAUGAAUGUGAUAUGGAGCAUGAAGAGAAAGAGGAUUUCACAAGCAAUCAUGAAUUUCGAUAAACAUUAACAAUUAAACAAAUUUUUGCCCCACGAUCUCCUUGCAGUAAUAGAGAAAAGCCCUGAAACCAGCGCAUGGCCUAACGGAAGAAUGGAAAAAGUAUUUCUAAUAAGCUCAGAAAAAAAAAAAAAGAAAGAAAGAAAGAAUAAAAGGUUGUCAAGUACUCCCAUGUCAAUCUUAUAACACGGCAUUUCCAGAUUUCCCGAUUAAGUGGGAAAAAAAAUGGAUGACAAAAGCUAAUACCUAUCUUUGUAUAGAAUUAGAUGCUUAAACGUUCAGCGGGAAAAUAACAAUACUACUAAACUAAAAACAUAUGCGACGGCAAAAAGUAGAAUGCACAGGCCAUAUAACCGAAUUAAGAUGAAGGUGAUAUUUCUCUUUUCAAUUUUCCUUUUUGUCAGAGUAAACGGUAAGCUUUGAGGUUGCUGUUCUACAACUGUAUUUUCGAUCUUUUAUUGUCAGUGUCCUCGCCCUGUCACGAUACGUAUCAUGAAAAUCACAAGCAGAAAAGCAAACAUUAAAAGAUUGGCAGUUAAAAGCAAACCCUAUACAUAAUUACAUACUAAAAUGGCAGAUUCAGAACCAAAAGUCUACGAAAUAAAAUUCCAUUAAUAUAAUAUGCCAGAAAAACAAGUAAGAAUACCGUAUAUAGUGUUGAUAUUCUUAUAGGAGUCUAUCUUUGUAGGAAUAUCCACUACUCAGUACGAUCUGUUGCAUAACCAAUGAUCGAAAAUAUCAUGAUACUCACACAAAGCAAAGACUCUCAAGAACGUUAAUUUUCUUUGAACUUAAAAAAACUAAAUGGAACUAGGGGAGUAAUAUAUAUGUGCAUCUGAUCAAUAAAAUAAAAUGACGAUCACAUAAAGGAAGUAAGAGAGUAUUGUUAAGUAAAUUAAUUAAGAAAAGAAACCCAAAACAGUAUUGCCUGGCUCCGUUCUGUCUGCCUCUUUCUUUAGCUUGGGAGGUUGCAGAGGCCUUAUAACAACAAAGAGCCCCCUACUAGAACUGAUGAAGAACCCUUCUUGGACUUGUUGAUGAGUUUUCCCCACCAACUUGAACGUCCUCGACCACCAGAAGAGAACUUUGCUAAACGUUUUAGUGGUAGUACUACCAGUUGUAAAUCCUUCUUUUUCUUGAACCAGUGCAACAAGUUGGCUUCUGGGAUUAGUAAUAAUAUUAGAAGUAAACAAGUAAAUGGUUGUGAAGCGAAAUUUUCAUCUUCUUCAACCAUCUUUGCAUAAUUAUUUAAAAUGCAACCACCAACCACCCUCCCUCUUCUUCUUCUUCUUCUUCUUCUUCUUCUUCUUCUUCUACUGUUACACAAACCCCUCUUUUCUUAUUUCUGUUUGUGGCCAACAGCGGGAUUUGAUAUACAUCACGCAAAAGGAUACAUAUGUGUAUCCUUGGAGAAAGAAGAGAGAGAAAUGGAGAGUUGAGACUUGAGAGUAGAGAGGGGAAGCUAUGGGAUGGUGAAAAAGAGAGUGGCUGAGAGCUGAAGGAGGGAGGGCAGAGAGAAGGGAGGGUUCUUAAAAGAAGGGUCCCAGCCCCGGAAGAGGAAUAGACAUUCUGUCCAUGCGACUUGUUCUAUUU
This 25922-nucleotide long non-coding RNA is filed under the name Coffea arabica (coffee). Its description in RNAcentral is "long non-coding RNA (CARA_LNC005204)". Lineage: Eukaryota; Viridiplantae; Streptophyta; Magnoliopsida; Gentianales; Rubiaceae. The record is from RNAcentral.